Molecule: long non-coding RNA, 1004 nt
Organism: Bubalus bubalis (water buffalo)
Lineage: Eukaryota; Metazoa; Chordata; Mammalia; Artiodactyla; Bovidae
Exons: 2
Source: RefSeq, a predicted model, not a curated record
UCUCAGAGUUGGACACGACUAAGCGACUAGGAACACUCCAAUAUGAUCCCACACACUAUUCUUCAGAGGGUCUGUCUCCAGCUUAUAUUCCCAGCAUCAGAGGAGGAGGGUUCCCUUUAAUCCACAGCGUCUACAGCACUUGAUGUUUGUAAAGGGCUUGACAGUGGCCAUUCUGACCGGCUUGAGGUGAAAGCUCAUUGCAGGGUUGACAGGCACUUCCCUGAUACUUAGCGAUGUGGACGUCAUUUUGAGUGAGUUUUUUCUUAAAGGAUGUGAGUUAAAGGUACCUGUUGAACUUGGCUCUGUGACCGUCUGCUAAGUUUUGAAUUAUUGUUUGUUGACCCUCCCUGAGAGACCUCUGGAGGGCAGUUGUUGUUUACUUACAGCCCCACGGACGUUGUGAAUACUGAGUGCCUGGAGAGAUUGAAGGCCGGAGAAAAAGGGGACGACACAGGAUGAGAUGGUUGGAUGGCAUCACCGACUUGAUGCACAUGAGUUUGAGUGAACUCCGGGAGUCAGUGAUGGACAGGGAAGCCUGGCGUGCUGCAGUCCAUGGGGUUGCAAAGAGUUGGACACGACUGAGGACUGAACUGAACUGCACACAGCUUUUAGAGCUGCUGUUACAACAAAUGGCCACAAGGCGGCAGCAUUGCUUUGGCUUCAAACUCCACUUGUAAAUUUCUUUUUCUGUGCAUUCUUGCUUUAUUUUGGAGUAGGGUUGAUUUCCAAUACUGUGUUUGUUUCACGUGUACAGGAGCUUGAUUCAGUGAUACACGGACAUUUAUCAAUUCUUUUUUGGGUUCAUUUUCCCCAGAUAGAGGAUUACAGUGUCUCCGGUAGGCUGCCCUUUGCUGUUCAACCAUUUUUUCCUGGUUUUCUGUUUGCUGUACAUUGAUGUAUGUUUGUUCCUUGCAAGCUCUUUAUUUGUCCCGCAUCCCUAACUUGAUUUUUAAAAUAAUCAUAAGUUGGUUUUCUAAGUUUGUGAGUCUGUUUCUACUGUGUAA